RNAcentral lists this ribosomal RNA (200 nucleotides) under uncultured bacterium. Its description in RNAcentral is "partial 16S ribosomal RNA". It matches the Rfam family "Bacterial small subunit ribosomal RNA", at positions 334 to 526 of the family's 1533-position model. The record is from RNAcentral.
UACUCCUACGGGAGGCAGCAGUGGGGAAUAUUGGACAAUGGGCGAAAGCCUGAUCCAGCCAUGCCGCGUGUGUGAAGAAGGUCUUCGGAUUGUAAAGCACUUUAAGUUGGGAGGAAGGGCAUUAACCUAAUACGUUAGUGUCUUGACGUUACCGACAGAAUAAGCACCGGCUAACUCUGUGCCAGCAGCCGCGGUAAUAA